GUGGAUGUUCCUUCUAUGUUUA
This 22-nucleotide microRNA is filed under the name Canis lupus familiaris (dog). Its description in RNAcentral is "Cfa-Mir-376-P1_5p* (star (passenger))". RNAcentral also lists the same sequence under 1 other name. The record is from RNAcentral. Lineage: Eukaryota; Metazoa; Chordata; Mammalia; Carnivora; Canidae.